RNAcentral lists this long non-coding RNA (246 nucleotides) under Elaeis guineensis (African oil palm). RNAcentral describes it as "long non-coding RNA (EGUI_LNC027688)". The record is from RNAcentral. Lineage: Eukaryota; Viridiplantae; Streptophyta; Magnoliopsida; Arecales; Arecaceae.
ACUUCCUCUUAAUAUAUUCCACAGUUGACUUAUAUAUCAAGGAGCCACAUUUCAUACUUCUUGAAACUGAAGGAUCUUUGAUUCAGCAUCUGUGAGGGGUUGGUGGCGAACGGUAUCAGAUGCUGCUAGUCGCACUUUAUAAAUGGAUAAGCUCAUUGCUCAUUCAGAACCAACACUAUAUUGUGGUUAACAACCAUAGUAAGUAAGCCACUUGGAGAACAAAGUUUAGGCCUUUAGGGAAGCCAC